This 513-nucleotide ribosomal RNA is filed under the name uncultured bacterium. Its description in RNAcentral is "partial 16S ribosomal RNA". It matches the Rfam family "Bacterial small subunit ribosomal RNA", at positions 28 to 523 of the family's 1533-position model. The record is from RNAcentral.
GAUGAACGCUGGCGGCGUGCCUAAUACAUGCAAGUCGAGCGAACAGAUGAGAAGCUUGCUUCUCUGAUGUUAGCGGCGGACGGGUGAGUAACACGUGGGUAACCUACCUAUAAGACUGGGAUAACUCCGGGAAACCGGGGCUAAUACCGGAUAAUAUUUUGAACCGCAUGGUUCAAUAGUGAAAGACGGUUUCGGCUGUCACUUAUAGAUGGACCCGCGCCGUAUUAGCUAGUUGGUAAGGUAACGGCUUACCAAGGCGACGAUACGUAGCCGACCUGAGAGGGUGAUCGGCCACACUGGAACUGAGACACGGUACAGAUUCCUACGGGAGGCAGCAGUAGGAAUCUUCCGCAAUGGGCGAAAGCCUGACGGAGCAACGCCGCGUGAGUGAUGAAGGUCUUCGGAUCGUAAAACUCUGUUGUUAGGGAAGAACAAAUUUGUUAGUAACUGAACAAGUCUUGACGGUACCUAACCAGAAAGCCACGGCUAACUACGUGCCAGCCGCCGCGGUAA